RNAcentral lists this ribosomal RNA (1227 nucleotides) under Triticum aestivum (bread wheat). Its description in RNAcentral is "partial small subunit ribosomal RNA". Lineage: Eukaryota; Viridiplantae; Streptophyta; Magnoliopsida; Poales; Poaceae. The record is from RNAcentral.
AUGGCUAAACCGGCGCGAUCGCCGACGGCGGAGGCCCUGCCGGCCGCGGAGAAGUCCCGCUCCGCGGUCGGGUCGGGGCUCCGGUCCCUCGCCAGCGCCGCCUCUGGAUUUCUGGAUCGGUGGUCGGUCGUCGGGACGGGCGUCUCCAGGCUCGAGAAAACUCUCGGCGACCAGUUCCCCGAGGGUGAGCACUACUUCGGCCUGGAGAAUUUUGGCAAUACCUGCUACUGCAACAGCGUGCUGCAGGCACUUUAUUAUUGUAUUCCGUUUCGGGAGCAGUUGCUGGAAUAUUAUGCAAAUUACAGGAAUCCAGGAGAUGCUGAGGAAAAUUUGUUGACCUGCUUGGCAGAUCUUUUUGCGCAGAUAAGCCUAUCGAAGAAAAAGACUGGUGUUAUUUCUCCAAAACGUUUUGUCCAUAGAGUGAGGAAACAGAAUGAAUUGUUUCGUAGUAAUAUGCACCAGGAUGCCCAUGAAUUUUUGAAUUUUUUGUUGAAUGAGAUUGUCGAUAUUCUGGAAAAAGAGUUUAGUACUGUGAAGGAUUCUCCUGAAAGCACAUCCCCUGGAGGGGUGGCAAAUGGCGAAGUUUAUCAUUUAGCCAAUGAAGUUCGAAGGGAGCCGCUGGUUACAUGGGUCCACAAGAAUUUUCAGGGUAUUUUGACCAAUGAAACAAAGUGCCUGAUGUGUGAGACUGUCACCGCAAAGGAUGAGACAUUUUUAGAUUUGAGCAUCGACAUUGAACAGAAUAGUUCACUAACAAGCUGCCUGAAGAGUUUCUUUUCCACCGAGAUUUUAAAUGCCGAGGACAAGUUUUUCUGUGACAACUGCUGCAGUUUGCAAGAAGCACAGAAGAGAAUGAAGAUAAAAAAGGCGCCACAAAUAUUGGUGAUCCACUUAAAGCGCUUCAAGUUCAUUGAACAGCUGAGUCAGCACAAGAAACUGUCAUACCGAGUGGUAUACCCCAUGGAGCUGAAGCUGAGCAGUGCCUCUGAUGAUGUGGAUUGCGAAUACUCACUCUUUGCUGUGGUAGUCCACGUUGGGAACGCUGCCAACCACGGACAUUAUGUAAGCCAGAUUAAAAGCGGCGACCACUGGCUGUCAUUUGACGAUGACAGUGUUGACAAAAUUCAGGAGUCAACCCUGCAAACGUUCUAUGGUUCUUCUCGCGAAUAUUCUGGCAACAGCGAUCAUGGCUACAUCUUGUUCUAUGAGAGCGUUGCAAAGAGCUAG